This 447-nucleotide ribosomal RNA is filed under the name uncultured bacterium. Its description in RNAcentral is "bacterial SSU rRNA". It matches the Rfam family "Bacterial small subunit ribosomal RNA", at positions 355 to 825 of the family's 1533-position model. The record is from RNAcentral.
UCGGGAAUUUUGGGCAAUGGGCGAAAGCCUGACCCAGCAACGCCGCGUGAAGGAUGAAGUAUUUCGGUAUGUAAACUUCGAAAGAAUAGGAAGAAUAAAUGACGGUACUAUUUAUAAGGUCCGGCUAACUACGUGCCAGCAGCCGCGGUAAUACAGGGGGUGCGAGCGUUAAUCGGAAUUACUGGGCGUAAAGGGCGCGUAGGCGGUCGAGUAAGUCGGAUGUGAAAUCCCCGGGCUUAACCUGGGAAUUGCAUUCGAUACUGCUUGGCUAGAGUGUGGAAGAGGGAAGCGGAAUUUCCGGUGUAGCGGUGAAAUGCGUAGAUAUCGGAAGGAACACCAGUGGCGAAGGCGGCUUCCUGGUCUCAUACUGACGCUGAGGCACGAAAGCAUGGGGAGCAAACAGGAUUAGAUACCCGCGUAGUCCCUGAGCGGGCUGGCAAGGCGCAU